RNAcentral lists this ribosomal RNA (396 nucleotides) under Striaticonidium cinctum. RNAcentral describes it as "partial small subunit ribosomal RNA". It matches the Rfam family "Eukaryotic small subunit ribosomal RNA", at positions 30 to 432 of the family's 1831-position model. Lineage: Eukaryota; Fungi; Ascomycota; Sordariomycetes; Hypocreales; Stachybotryaceae. The record is from RNAcentral.
GCUUGUCUCAAAGAUUAAGCCAUGCAUGUCUAAGUAUAAGCAUUAUACAGUGAAACUGCGAAUGGCUCAUUAUAUCAGUUAUAGUUUAUUUGAUAGUCCCUGCUAUUUGGAUAACCGUAGUAAUUCUAGAGCUAAUACAUGCACCAAGCGCGCUUUUACGAGCGCGUGUAUUUAUUAGAUACAAAACCAAUGCCCUUCGGGGCUCCUUGGUGAUUCAUGAUAACUAUACGAAUCGCACGGCCUUGCGCCGGCGAUGGUUCAUUCAAAUUUCUUCCCUAUCAACUUUCGAUGUUUGGGUAUUGGCCAAACAUGGUUGCAACGGGUAACGGAGGGUUAGGGCUCGACCCCGGAGAAGGAGCCUGAGAAACGGCUACUACAUCCAAGGAAGGCAGCAGG